RNAcentral lists this non-coding RNA (27 nucleotides) under Cricetulus griseus (Chinese hamster). The record is from RNAcentral. Lineage: Eukaryota; Metazoa; Chordata; Mammalia; Rodentia; Cricetidae.
GUAUUACAUCGUGAAAGUGAACAGGAG